GGGUGCUCGAGUGGCGAACGGGUGAGUAACACGUGAGUAACCUGCCCUUGACUUGGGAUAACUUCAGGAAACUGGGGCUAAUACCGGAUAGGAGCUCCUGCUGCAUGGUGGGGGUUGGAAAGUUUCGGCGGUUGGGGAUGGACUCGCGGCUUAUCAGCUUGUUGGUGGGGUAGUGGCUUACCAAGGCUUUGACGGGUAGCCGGCCUGAGAGGGUGACCGGCCACAUUGGGACUGAGAUACGGCCCAG
This 247-nucleotide ribosomal RNA is filed under the name uncultured Actinomycetales bacterium. RNAcentral describes it as "partial 16S ribosomal RNA". It matches the Rfam family "Bacterial small subunit ribosomal RNA", at positions 85 to 334 of the family's 1533-position model. Lineage: Bacteria; Bacillati; Actinomycetota; Actinomycetes; Actinomycetales. The record is from RNAcentral.